Molecule: ribosomal RNA, 253 nt
Filed under: uncultured bacterium
Lineage: Bacteria
Description: partial 16S ribosomal RNA
Rfam family: Bacterial small subunit ribosomal RNA
Source: RNAcentral
UACGUAGGGGGCAAGCGUUAUCCGGAUUCACUGGGUGUAAAGGGAGCGUAGACGGCGACGCAAGUCUGGAGUGAAAGCCCGGGGCCCAACCCCGGGACUGCUCUGGAAACUGCGGCGCUGGAGUACGGGAGGGGCAGGCGGAAUUCCUGGUGUAGCGGUGAAAUGCGUAGAUAUCAGGAGGAACACCGGUGGCGAAGGCGGCCUGCUGGACUGCAACUGACGUUGAGGCCCGAAAGCGUGGGGAGCAAACAGG